Amborella trichopoda is the source of this 1150-nucleotide long non-coding RNA. RefSeq lists it as uncharacterized. Lineage: Eukaryota; Viridiplantae; Streptophyta; Magnoliopsida; Amborellales; Amborellaceae. The record is from RefSeq and is a predicted model, not a curated record.
UCUGGUGCAUAUGCACCUAUAGGUAUCUAAUAUAUACAAGUCGUUUCUAAUUUCUGUGUAAUUUUUAUUUGGUGGAUUCUAAGGGCCCCAAGGUCGGCCCUCCAGUCUUUAUGGUUUCUCAAACACUGUAAAGUUCUUUAGAGCACCCAACCGGUGUGCUGCUCCAUCCCACUUCUCAUUGAAACUGCUUGGAAAUAAUGACCAAAAAGAACGAAUGCAACAGGGCGUAGAACCUUGGAUACGGAGGCCAUUCUUGGUGAUUCAGAUCCAUCAGUUCUUGUUCAUCUAGUCUCUUCCCUCUGGAUGUCAAGUCUUGAAGAAGAAUGAUUAAGGAUGAAUUGCUCUUUCCCAUUAUUUUUUUCAGAUUAAACUCCAGACGUGGUUCUGCUUCUUUUGUAGUCAAAGCAACACAUUCUUCCCAAAAUAAGGGUGUCUUUUGUUAAAUCUGUUAGGUUUUGGGUAUUUCACUCGAGAGCCUCAACUAAAAACAAGAAGCCAGAGAUUUUCAGAAAUCUACUUGUGGAUCUAUUCAAAUACAGGUUUUGCGGAAAGCCCAUUCACCAUGGCAACAUAUGACUCUGUUGUUGAAUGCAGAAGGCUUUAGUGAUGGAGGAAACGAGCCUGGGCAUUGCAAAAAAGUGACAACCCCCCAUGGACAUGCCUUAGAACCUUUCUACUGCGACCUGUGGAUGGGGAUAUCAGGUUUUGAAUGAAUAGUUCAUUCCAGUUGACUGUUACAGCACUUCUAUGAAAUCCUUCCUCAGAAGCCCUUAUCCAGGAAAACGGCAUAUGUCAGGCCCGAUACUGGGAUUCUUUAUGCCAUGAUACUGAUUCUAUUGGCAUGUUGGUUCAUGGUCACAUUUUAGAGAGAGAAUGCAAGGCCAAGUAUCCAUUAGUGAAAUGUAAAUAUAAUCCAUAUCUCUGUUACUGAGUUGUGUUUAAGUCGAUGGUUUUGGAAAUACGGAUCCAAGAUAUGGAGACGAGAAUGUGUAGUUUUUCUCAUUUGUUGCCCCAAGUUAAGCAUGACCUCCCUUGCCGUUUAAGGUGGCUGGUGGAGAUGAUUGAAUAGGUUGUUGCUUAAUUAAUUUAAAUGGAUGUCACCACAUUAAUGGGAUGUAUUUCAAUUUGGUACAACAUUACAUGGAUUUAU